CGGGGCGUGGCGCAGUCUGGUAGCGCACUGGCAUGGGGGGUCAGUGGUCGGCCGUUCAAAUCGGCUCGCCCCGACCA
RNAcentral lists this transfer RNA (77 nucleotides) under Thermoplasmatales archaeon ex4484_36. Its description in RNAcentral is "tRNA-Pro". RNAcentral also lists the same sequence under 1 other name. The record is from RNAcentral. Lineage: Archaea; Methanobacteriati; Thermoplasmatota; Thermoplasmata; Thermoplasmatales.